GACGAACGCUGGCGGCGUGCUUAACACAUGCAAGUCGAACGGAAAGGCCCUGCUUUUGUGGGGUGCUCGAGUGGCGAACGGGUGAGUAACACGUGAGUAACCUGCCCUUGACUUUGGGAUAACUUCAGGAAACUGGGGCUAAUACCGGAUAGGAGCUCCUGCUGCAUGGUGGGGGUUGGAAAGUUUCGGCGGUUGGGGAUGGACUCGCGGCUUAUCAGCUUGUUGGUGGGGUAGUGGCUUACCAAGGCUUUGACGGGUAGCCGGCCUGAGAGGGUGACCGGCCACAUUGGGACUGAGAUACGGCCCAGACUCCUACGGGAGGCAGCAGUGGGGAAUAUUGCACAAUGGGCGGAAGCCUGAUGCAGCAACGCCGCGUGCGGGAUGACGGCCUUCGGGUUGUAAACCGCUUUCGCCUGUGACGAAGCGUGAGUGACGGUAAUGGGUAAAGAAGCACCGGCUAACUACGUGCCAGCAGCCGCGGUGAUACGUAGGGUGCGAGCGUUGUCCGGAUUUAUUGGGCGUAAAGGGCUCGUAGGUGGUUGAUCGCGUCGGAAGUGUAAUCUUGGGGCUUAACCCUGAGCGUGCUUUCGAUACGGGUUGACUUGAGGAAGGUAGGGGAGAAUGGAAUUCCUGGUGGAGCGGUGGAAUGCGCAGAUAUCAGGAGGAACACCAGUGGCGAAGGCGGUUCUCUGGGCCUUUCCUGACGCUGAGGAGCGAAAGCGUGGGGAGCGAACAGGCUUAGAUACCCUGGUAGUCCACGCUGUAAACGGUGGGUACUAGGUGUGGGGUCCAUUCCACGGGUUCCGUGCCGUAGCUAACGCUUUAAGUACCCCGCCUGGGGAGUACGGCCGCAAGGCUAAAACUCAAAGGAAUUGACGGGGCCCCGCACAAGCGGCGGAGCAUGCGGAUUAAUUCGAUGCAACGCGUAGAACCUUACCUGGGUUUGACAUGGAUCGGGAGUGCUCAGAGAUGGGUGUGCCUCUUUUGGGGUCGGUUCACAGGUGGUGCAUGGCUGUCGUCAGCUCGUGUCGUGAGAUGUUGGGUUAAGUCCCGCAACGAGCGCAACCCUUGUUCACUGUUGCCAGCACGUUAUGGUGGGGACUCAGUGGAGACCGCCGGGGUCAACUCGGAGGAAGGUGGGGAUGACGUCAAGUCAUCAUGCCCCUUAUGUCCAGGGCUUCACGCAUGCUACAAUGGCUGGUACAGAGAGUGGCGAGCCUGUGAGGGUGAGCGAAUCUCGGAAAGCCGGUCUCAGUUCGGAUUGGGGUCUGCAACUCGACCUCAUGAAGUCGGAGUCGCUAGUAAUCGCAGAUCAGCAACGCUGCGGUGAAUAUGUUCCCGGG
This 1343-nucleotide ribosomal RNA is filed under the name uncultured bacterium. RNAcentral describes it as "16S ribosomal RNA". It matches the Rfam family "Bacterial small subunit ribosomal RNA", at positions 28 to 1378 of the family's 1533-position model. The record is from RNAcentral.